This is a small nucleolar RNA of Mesocricetus auratus (golden hamster), 78 nucleotides long. Its record names the gene SNORD115. It matches the Rfam family "Small nucleolar RNA SNORD115". From Rfam's summary of the family: HBII-52 is a member of the C/D class of snoRNAs, which contain the C (UGAUGA) and D (CUGA) box motifs. HBII-52 is encoded in a tandemly repeated array with another C/D snoRNA, HBII-85, in the Prader-Willi syndrome (PWS) region of chromosome 15. HBII-52 is exclusively expressed in the brain but is absent in PWS patients. NCBI's taxonomy places the organism in Eukaryota, Metazoa, Chordata, Mammalia, Rodentia, Cricetidae. The record is from Ensembl.
GAGUCUAUGAUGACAAACCAAUGCCAUGCAGAGUGAUGAUGACAUAAAAAUCAUUCUCAAUAGGAUUAUGAUGAGGCC